AGGUUAAUAUUCCUGUACUUGGUGUUACUGCGAAGGGGGGACGGAGAAGGCUAUGUUAGCCGGGCGACGGUUGUCCCGGUUUAAGCAUGUAGGCUGGUUAUCCAGGCAAAUCCGGAUAAUCAAGGCUGAGGUGUGAUGACGAGGCACUACGGUGCUGAAGUAACAAAUGCCCUGCUUCCAGGAAAAGCCUCUAAGCAUCAGGUAACAUCAAAUCGUACCCCAAACCGACACAGGUGGUCAGGUAGAGAAUACCAAGGCGCUUGAGAGAACUCGGGUGAAGGAACUAGGCAAAAUGGUGCCGUAACUUCGGGAGAAGGCACGCUGGUGUGUAGGUGAAGUCCCUGCGGAUGGAGCUGAGACCAGUCGAAGAUACCAGCUGGCUGCAACUGUUUAUUAA
Molecule: ribosomal RNA, 397 nt
Filed under: Acinetobacter baumannii
Lineage: Bacteria; Pseudomonadati; Pseudomonadota; Gammaproteobacteria; Moraxellales; Moraxellaceae
Description: partial 23S ribosomal RNA
Rfam family: Bacterial large subunit ribosomal RNA
Source: RNAcentral